RNAcentral lists this ribosomal RNA (1522 nucleotides) under metagenome. RNAcentral describes it as "bacterial SSU rRNA". It matches the Rfam family "Bacterial small subunit ribosomal RNA". The record is from RNAcentral.
AGAGUUUGAUCAUGGCUCAGGUUGAACGCUGGCGGCAGGCCUAACACAUGCAAGUCGAACGGUAACAGGAAACAGCUUGCUGUUUCGCUGACGAGUGGCGGACGGGUGAGUAAUGUCUGGGAAACUGCCUGAUGGAGGGGGAUAACUACUGGAAACGGUAGCUAAUACCGCAUAACGUCGCAAGACCAAAGAGGGGGACCUUCGGGCCUCUUGCCAUCAGAUGUGCCCAGAUGGGAUUAGCUAGUAGGUGGGGUAACGGCUCACCUAGGCGACGAUCCCUAGCUGGUCUGAGAGGAUGACCAGCCACACUGGAACUGAGACACGGUCCAGACUCCUACGGGAGGCAGCAGUGGGGAAUAUUGCACAAUGGGCGCAAGCCUGAUGCAGCCAUGCCGCGUGUAUGAAGAAGGCCUUCGGGUUGUAAAGUACUUUCAGCGGGGAGGAAGGGAGUAAAGUUAAUACCUUUGCUCAUUGACGUUACCCGCAGAAGAAGCACCGGCUAACUCCGUGCCAGCAGCCGCGGUAAUACGGAGGGUGCAAGCGUUAAUCGGAAUUACUGGGCGUAAAGCGCACGCAGGCGGUUUGUUAAGUCAGAUGUGAAAUCCCCGGGCUCAACCUGGGAACUGCAUCUGAUACUGGCAAGCUUGAGUCUCGUAGAGGGGGGUAGAAUUCCAGGUGUAGCGGUGAAAUGCGUAGAGAUCUGGAGGAAUACCGGUGGCGAAGGCGGCCCCCUGGACGAAGACUGACGCUCAGGUGCGAAAGCGUGGGGAGCAAACAGGAUUAGAUACCCUGGUAGUUCACGCCGUAAACGAUGUCGACUUGGAGGUUGUGCCCUUGAGGCGUGGCUUCCGGAGCUAACGCGUUAAGUCGACCGCCUGGGGAGUACGGCCGCAAGGUUAAAACUCAAAUGAAUUGACGGGGGCCCGCACAAGCGGUGGAGCAUGUGGUUUAAUUCGAUGCAACGCGAAGAACCUUACCUGGUCUUGACAUCCACGGAAGUUUUCAGAGAUGAGAAUGUGCCUUCGGGAACCGUGAGACAGGUGCUGCAUGGCUGUCGUCAGCUCGUGUUGUGAAAUGUUGGGUUAAGUCCCGCAACGAGCGCAACCCUUAUCCUUUGUUGCCAGCGGUCCGGCCGGGAACUCAAAGGAGACUGCCAGUGAUAAACUGGAGGGAGGUGGGGAUGACGUCAAGUCAUCAUGGCCCUUACGACCAGGGCUACACACGUGCUACAAUGGCGCAUACAAAGAGAAGCGACCUCGCGAGAGCAAGCGGACCUCAUAAAGUGCGUCGUAGUCCGGAUUGGAGUCUGCAACUCGACUCCAUGAAGUCGGAAUCGCUAGUAAUCGUGGAUCAGAAUGCCACGGUGAAUACGUUCCCGGGCCUUGUACACACCGCCCGUCACACCAUGGGAGUGGGUUGCAAAAGAAGUAGGUAGCUUAACCUUCGGGAGGGCGCUUACCACUUUGUGAUUCAUGACCGGGGUGAAGUCGGAACAAGGUAACCGUAGGGGAACCUGCGGUUG